RNAcentral lists this ribosomal RNA (634 nucleotides) under uncultured crenarchaeote. RNAcentral's name for it is "bacterial SSU rRNA". The stretch from base 285 to 634 matches the Rfam family "Archaeal small subunit ribosomal RNA", at positions 1 to 824 of the family's 1478-position model. The record is from RNAcentral. Lineage: Archaea; Thermoproteati; Thermoproteota.
CCUAAAGCAUCCGUAGCCGGCUCUGUAAGUUUUCGGUUAAAUCUGUACGCUUAACGUACAGGCUGCCGGGAAUACUGCAAAGCUAGGGAGUGGGAGARGUAGACGGUACUCGGUAGGAAGUGGUAAAAUGCUUUGAUCUAUCGGAUGACCACCUGUGGCGAAGGCGGUCUACYAGAACACGUCCGACGGUGAGGGAUGAAAGCUGGGGGAGCAAACCGGAUUAGAUACCCGGGUAGUCCCAGCUGUAAACCUAUGCAAACUCAGUGAUGCAUUKGCUUGUGGCCAAUGCAGUGCUGCAGGGAAGCCGUUAAGUUUGCCCUAAAGCAUCCGUAGCCGGCUCUGUAAGUUUUCGGUUAAAUCUGUACGCUUAACGUACAGGCUGCCGGGAAUACUGCAAAGCUAGGGAGUGGGAGARGUAGACGGUACUCGGUAGGAAGUGGUAAAAUGCUUUGAUCUAUCGGAUGACCACCUGUGGCGAAGGCGGUCUACYAGAACACGUCCGACGGUGAGGGAUGAAAGCUGGGGGAGCAAACCGGAUUAGAUACCCGGGUAGUCCCAGCUGUAAACCUAUGCAAACUCAGUGAUGCAUUKGCUUGUGGCCAAUGCAGUGCUGCAGGGAAGCCGUUAAGUUUGC